RNAcentral lists this long non-coding RNA (1017 nucleotides) under Felis catus (domestic cat). Its description in RNAcentral is "lncRNA (ENSFCAG00000052409.1)". Lineage: Eukaryota; Metazoa; Chordata; Mammalia; Carnivora; Felidae. The record is from RNAcentral.
AUGUGUCCCUCACACGCCUCUACCCUCCCCAGCAUCCUGGUGUCCUCUCCACCACCGGGCUGCCAUUCAAGCACACCUGCAAUGGAGGCUGGGGUGAGGCCCAUCUGCUUCCAAGGAGCCAUGGGCUACUCCUCAGAGACCCUAUUCCAGCGCCCUUGUUCACAAAUGGUGAAACUGAGGCCCAGAAGAAGAGGGCCUUGCCCAGCUUCAGCCCUCCGUUGUCUCUAUGGGCCUUCCUCCCAGGCCCCCAUAAAUAAGAAAUCCCAGCACAAACUGCAGGGUGGCUUAGAGGUGCCUCUGGCAGUCUUAGCCCUGCCUUCCGGAGCCCUGAAACCUGCUCCAUACUCCCUCCUUGGCUCCCCAAAGGCCCUUAGAGCUUCCCCAUGUGGGGCACUGCACCUGGAGGAUGCCAGCUGCCUGCUUUUCCCUGAGAGACCCUCUACCCAUCCCCUUGCCUGCUUCCUGUGGGCUGAGGAAGGGUCCUGUGCUACCCACCCCCCACCCCCGCCCCCAGCCCUGCCUGGGGACUCCCUGUCUGAUGGCUUGUGGCUCCUCCAAGGGCUUCUCCAGGAGGCAGAUCUGCUGAACCAGGUCAGGGGAAAUGGAGAGGAUGGGGAGAAGAGACCAAAUGGGGUUGCAGGGCAGGGGCGCUCAGAAGAUGCCCAGCUUGGGUCUCUCCCGGGCGUUGUCUUUCUGGGUGUCAGGCAGGCCUCUUGGCUGCCCUGCCCCCACCAGGUGUGGGGCUUCCGGCUGCUGAGAGGCCCCUUUGUGCCUUAUCUUCUCUGCCUUGGUGGUGGCUGUAUCCAGAUAAGCAUCCUAUUGGGGACUGAAAUUCCAGACUGGCUGCCCACUCCCCCACCUGGGGGUCUGGGACCUGCCAGCUGCACUUUCCACAGGACACAACCAGAGUGUACAAUCCACUUAGAAUUCCUCCCAGCUGCACAUUUUCCCCGGGACACCCCUCCCAUCUGCACACUUGGACCUGCACCCCCACCACCGCGUUGGCCAAGCAGAUAG